CUCGUGUGUAUAAAAUGAUUGCUACCCCUAAGUUGAGGAGAUCUUAGAGACAGACUUUACCAACUAAUCUGUGCACUGCAGUUUAUUAGGGAGUAUGAAGUCAGAGAUUCUGGGAGUUAUUACGCAGUAUGAAGUCAGAGAUUCUGGGAGUUUAUUAGGCAGUAGUAUGAAGUCAGAAUCUGGGAGUUUAUUAGGCAGUAGUAUGAAGUCAGAGAUUCUGGGAGUUUAUUACGCAGUAUGAAGUCAGAGAUUCUGGGAGUUUAUUACACAGUAUGAAGUCAGAGAAUCUGGGAGUUUAUUAGGCAGCAGUAUGAAGUCAGAGAUUCUGGGAGUUUAUUAGGCAGUAUGAAGUCAGAAUCUGGGAGUUUAUUAGGCAGUAGUAUGAAGUCAGAGAAUCUGGGAGUUUAUUAGGCAGUAGUAUGAAGUCAGAGAAUCUGGGAGUUUAUUAGGCAGUAGUAUGAAGUCAGAGAAUCUGGGAGUUUAUUAGGCAGUAGUAUGAAGUCAGAGAAUCUGGGAGUUCACCAGCAUUGUGAAGUUAUAGUUUCUGAGAUUUCAUAGAAAUUGUGGGACUUCAUCUGCGUAAUGAAAUCUGAUUUUCAGUUUUAAUAAGCAUGAUGUAUUCAGAGAUUCCUCGAGUUCAUCAGUAUUGUGAAGUCAGAGAUUCCGGUAGUUCAGUUGGUGCACAGAGAAUGCCAUUUUUAUUUCGAGGCAUGAUCUAUCCAGCUGUUUGCAUUGAUAAAAUGCCUAAAUAUCCCUAGACGCUCUUUGCAUAUUCCUGCUUUUCUCUUUUGUUCUCCACUUACUUUUCUGAUCAGUUAUGCAGAACACACUGAUAUGCAUAUUUUGCUGCAAAACAACAGUCAUAUUUAUUAGCGUCUGAGGGAUACUGUACAACAAUAGCCUGUUACGGUCUUCUUGAUCCUCUUGAGUGUUUCUCUUGUUUGAAUCGUAUAUGAAUAUUAUUAAACACUGUGAAUAAUAAAAUGUCUUUUUUUUCCCCUUAUCUGCCUUUUGUAUAGCUAUAGUCUAAUUGUCUGAUAGCAUGAAAAUCAUUUAACGAUACUAUCUCAUCUCAAUAACAUUGUUCAAAUACUACUUGUAGGAAUGCUUUAUUAGUCAACACUAACAGCAGCUCAUAACCACAAACUGUAGUGGUGUGGACUGACAUCAAUAACGACAUAGCCUCAAUCAAAAUUAAGUUGUGAGGCUAUCACACUUGAUUUAUGCAAGUGCAGCUUCAGAUUCAAUAGCAUACAGUCAUCUUGCAUACCGUGCAGUCUAGUAACUUGCUUUGAGCAGGUUUAUUACUUUAAAGGCAACAUAACCUGCCUCUAUAAUGCAUUUCUAGCGUCGCACACACUGUUUCAUGCUGGCCACAUGCGCACAGAUUUUCACUUUCUCGUGAUCUCACUGUUGAAUUAUAUUAAAAAAUAUCUAUGGCUCUCAACCCUCAUCCUAAGUCAAUGAGCAUUAAUAGCUGCACAAGUUUGAAACGUGUGAUCCUAAUCUCUCACAUAGAAAAACCACACACAAAAACAGCACGAUGUGAACCAGGAUGUGGGUUUUUCAUGUUAUUUUUGGUGGAGUAUGUUCAGUCCACCAUGCUUAACAAUAUGGAAAGGAAUUGUUAUUAUCGUUGAUGUAUUGCGUUAAUAAAAACUUGUGGAAGAGAAUGUCUUUAAAUGUUAGCUUUAAGACACUUCCUUCUUGUGUGGAUCUUUAAAAAGUGAGAAACCGUAAUCACCAGUUCUUCCUGUGUGCUUAAGAAGUUAAUGGUUCAGGAAAAUGAACCUUUUAGUGUAUCGCCUUAAUUUAAGGUAUAAUUCAGCUUUUUGGCCUUGAAAUGCCUUGAACAUUUAUGCUGUUUUCCCUCAGCAGACGAUUUCGUAAACCACUCAUAUGAGCAUUUCCACAAGACAUUUGACCUUCAUUAAAAA
Long non-coding RNA from Ictalurus punctatus (channel catfish), 1937 nucleotides. NCBI's taxonomy places the organism in Eukaryota, Metazoa, Chordata, Actinopteri, Siluriformes, Ictaluridae. The record is from Ensembl.